Molecule: small RNA, 100 nt
Filed under: Paenibacillus sp.
Lineage: Bacteria; Bacillati; Bacillota; Bacilli; Caryophanales; Paenibacillaceae
Description: Guanidine-I sequence
Rfam family: Guanidine-I riboswitch aptamer
About the family: This family represents a conserved RNA structure found upstream of the ykkC and yxkD genes in Bacillus subtilis and related genes in other bacteria.
Source: RNAcentral
ACGAUUGUUUACUAGGGUUCCGCCGGUCACGUACCGGGCUGGUCCGAGAGUAAACCACUCUUGUGAAAGAGUGCCACGGAAGGAUAAAAACCUGGGAGAU